Molecule: ribosomal RNA, 253 nt
Filed under: uncultured bacterium
Lineage: Bacteria
Description: partial 16S ribosomal RNA
Rfam family: Bacterial small subunit ribosomal RNA
Source: RNAcentral
GACGAAGGGGGCUAGCGUUGUUCGGAAUUACUGGGCGUAAAGCGCGUGUAGGCGGUUGUUCAAGUCAGGUGUGAAAGCCUUGAGCUCAACUCAAGAAAUGCACUUGAUACUGGAUGACUAGAGGACCGGAGAGGAUAGUGGAAUUCCCAGUGUAGUGGUGAAAUACGUAGAGAUUGGGAAGAACACCAGUGGCGAAGGCGGCUAUCUGGACGGUUUCUGACGCUAAGACGCGAAAGCGUGGGGAGCGAACAGG